UACGGGGGGAGCAAGCGUUGUUCGGAUUUACUGGGCGUAAAGGGCGCGUAGGCGGCCAGCACAAGUCAGUUGUGAAAUCUCCGAGCUUAACUCGGAAAGGUCAACUGAUACUGUGCGGCUAGAGUGCGGAAGGGGCAACUGGAAUUCUUGGUGUAGCGGUGAAAUGCGUAGAUAUCAAGAGGAACACCUGCGGCGAAGGCGGGUUGCUGGGCCGACACUGACGCUGAAGCGCGAAAGCCAGGGGAGCGAACGGG
Molecule: ribosomal RNA, 254 nt
Filed under: uncultured bacterium
Lineage: Bacteria
Description: partial 16S ribosomal RNA
Rfam family: Bacterial small subunit ribosomal RNA
Source: RNAcentral